AGAUUGAACGCUGGCGGCAUGCUUUACACAUGCAAGUCGAGCGGCAGCGCGGGGGGUAACUCCUGGCGGCGAGCGGCGGACGGGUGAGUAAUACAUCGGAACGUAUCCCGUAGUGGGGGACAACCCAGCGAAAGCUGGGCUAAUACCGCAUAUGCU
RNAcentral lists this ribosomal RNA (156 nucleotides) under uncultured soil bacterium. RNAcentral's name for it is "partial 16S ribosomal RNA". It matches the Rfam family "Bacterial small subunit ribosomal RNA", at positions 26 to 179 of the family's 1533-position model. The record is from RNAcentral.